RNAcentral lists this long non-coding RNA (1743 nucleotides) under Volvox carteri. RNAcentral describes it as "long non-coding RNA (VCAR_LNC003948)". Lineage: Eukaryota; Viridiplantae; Chlorophyta; Chlorophyceae; Chlamydomonadales; Volvocaceae. The record is from RNAcentral.
UCGAGGUCUCCACCAUUGCGGGGUGAGGUGCUCUGGUGGCUUCGGUGCCCCCGGUAGCGCUCUGGCCGGUUCGGGCGCAGGCGGAUCACCGGCGUGGUCCCUGUCGGCGGUGUUCGGACCGGCCCUUGCCGCCCCCGCGCCUGCGCCGGCGCGGGGGUUACGUGGCGCUACUGGUGUACAGUCGAGUCCCUUUUCUGCAAGGUACACCAGCACUGGGUUUGGGGUACCGAUUUCUCCUGUCACGGGGGUCAUGCCGAUGCUUAGAGUGCGACGGGUUUGCCGGCUUGGGCGCGGUCGCGGUCCCUGGACGAUAGGCCCAGGGGGGUUCCCUAGGUUGGGCACACUCCUACGGGUGUCUUUUCGUGUCUACAUGGAUAUAAUGGGCGCGGGGGGGCCGAGUGAAACUGGGGUGUGUUUCUUCUUGGCCUGUAGUAUGCAUGCCCCCCUGUAGAGCACUAGGUGCCGAACGAAUAUUCACUAAAUUACAACACACGGUACUGGCUGACGGACGGUGCUCUGAUGCAACAGGUCGUAGCUUGCAAGUCCCCUGUUAUGUUGGUGUGUCGAAUUUCGAAAUGUUGGUGUGUCGAAUUUCGAAAUGUUGGUGUGCACGUGCCUGAACCCGAGGGGGCUGUGGUGCGGAGGGCUUUGGAGAAGUCUUUUGCCGAUGGCCUAUUGUCCUGUCAGGAUGGGUCACUGGGUCAAGAAGUCAAUGGGUCAUUUCCCGCUCCCUGGGCCGCUUGGAAGUGAAGGAAGAGGGGGGUUACAUGAAUGGAUGUCCUGGGGUGUCUGUCUUCCUAUAAGAUACGCAUCGCGCACAUGUCAAAGGAUCACGACUGACUACACACGCGGACUACAUAACAGGAAGGAAGGAAGGAUUGGUAGGGGAAAUCCGAAACAGAUUGACAUAGAUUUCGUAAAAGUGAUUUAGGAGGGCUGUCAUCCUAACGUUCAAGCAUGGGUUACAGAACUUUGCUAUGGCAAAGGACUAAGCGGCUGUCAGCUGCUUUUCGAAGCCGAAAAGGCAGAUCGCUGCAAACGGAGGAACCGAAUCGCGUUUCGACUUACAGUCUACACUUUAUUUUGAUGUUAACGGCGAAGACGUUGUGUGUAUCAUCGCAAAUAUCGUGUAUGUUCGUGUAUAGGUGAUUUUGAUGUGGCCAGACAGCAGGGUAAUGAUGGUCAAGUAUGUAUGCCUGGUGCUUUGGAUAUGAUUGCACCGUCCAUGAAUUUGCAUUGGCGCCUUAGCACACAUAUCUUUUUCAUCACUCCAGCGCCGCCGGCCGCUGCACCCCAGCCCUCGCAGCAUUCCAUAAUAAUGAGCGUUUACUCCAAGCACGACCCCGUGCAGCCCAGUGCCGUACAGCCUCCCCUGCAAAAUACUGCGGGGUGACUGGCUGCACCGGCGCCAAACCCUUUUCAGCUUCGAAGAAGCUGACUACCCUAGGUAGUCACCAUAAUGUUGUCGCGCUUUCAUAUCAACCGCGGUUGAUACAACGCCGGCCGGCGUUAUAUGCCAUCCGGAAAACGCGAAUAUCGCUCCAUAAAACAUGGUUUGCAUUCCAGAACAAGCCUUCCAUAUAUAUUUUUUUGUAUUCGCACACACAUAUCGCACCGAAUCGCACACAGCCAUAUCCUUUCUACAUUCGCACACACCGAUUCAUCCAUCUUCUAUAUUCGCACACACCGAUGCCCCCGAAGGUUCCGGGAUCGAGACCUGUCAGGUUCGAAAAUCCUUCCGAU